Mandrillus leucophaeus (drill) is the source of this 1513-nucleotide long non-coding RNA. RefSeq lists it as uncharacterized. NCBI's taxonomy places the organism in Eukaryota, Metazoa, Chordata, Mammalia, Primates, Cercopithecidae. The record is from RefSeq and is a predicted model, not a curated record. The transcript has 2 exons.
GGUAUUAUAACAUUUAUUAAAAUAAUGCUAUGGGUUAAUAGAAACAGCAAAGAACCAAAGAAUUAAAAUGCAAGCUAUGUAAAAUCCCAACUAAAACCCAAAAGUGUCUAAUGUAUUCAUUCAUUAGCUAACUAAAAGCCCAAAAAAGACAAGACACCCAAUAUAAUAAAGUACUGCAAAACAAUUGGCAAUUUUCAGUUAUCAAAAUUGUGGAUUUUGCAUUUUGUAUCCUUUUCUCAAUCAAGAAAAAAAUUCUUUUUGAAUGUUAUAUAACAUACAUAUAAAACAAGAUAGAAAAAUACAUUAUAAACUUGUAACAAUGGCUGUAAAUACAUUAUCUUACAUGUUUCUCAUAGGCAAUAGGUUGGUUAUGGUACAUACACAGCAUGAAACUAAGAUAAUAAAGAAUAGACAAAAAUACAUGUCAGCUGUACGAUAACAUACAAGCGACACUCCCAUCUACCCACACUAAAAAAUUACAUAAUACUGUCAGAAAAAAAGUCUUAAAAACUACAUAUUUUAAUAAGAAAUAAAUUCAAUAAAGAAUGAUAAUACUGAGAACCAAGGCAUUCAGAGAUUUCAAAAGUCAUGCUUUUUUCAGUUGAUCCAAAAUUUUGUCAACCAAGUUUUCAAAAGUUUGUUCAGAGCCAACAUUACCCAUAAAUGUCACACAUUUAUUAUUUCAUACAUUUACUUUCUUCCCCAUAAAAGACCUUUGAUAAACAUCUAAAAUGUCCAGGUAUAACACAGUUGAGAUGAAACUGGAUCAAAUACUGGUAUUUUUUUUAACAACUAUCACCUCAAGUGUUUGAGUGUCGCAAAUUUAUUAAAGCAACCAAACAAUAUAAAAAUCAAAAUGGCACAGCAUAUAUUGUAAAUAAAUCAAAACUGUAUGUGUAACAGAAAGACAAAGCAGUGGCAUAUUAAACCAAAGCUAGCUGGAUACAAAACAACGAAUGUCUAUUGCAUAGUAAAUAAACUGACAACGGUUUCCAAGUGAGACAAGAUGGCAGGGGAGGUCACCAAGAAGGUCAUGACUCAGCUUCCUGCUGACCUCUGACUGUGAUGCUGGGAAGGUGUGGAAGAGGGGACGAGUUGAUAAGCUGGGGGGCGGGGGGAGUCCACUGUCACUUGAGAUUUGCCACGUCUGGUACUGAGCAGUUAACGAUUAUUCACUCAAGUGUUUAGAUGUAGGCUUUGCACACAAAUUGCUUCAACUACAUAACUAACUGUUUCAACUUCUAGAGAAAUUAGAAGCUUAAGGUGAAAUGUGGUUGAGUAUUUAUAUGCACUAUGAUGCUAGUUUUUCACAUUCUUUUAAAGUUAAGGGGUGGGGGAGGCAAAGGUUACUGAAACAGUAAAAGGAUACACUACACCAGUUAUCUGGUAUGAUAUAAAGACAUGUGAUUAAAUUUGGGUGAUUUAAAACAUUGUUUUCCAGAAUGAAAAUCACAAAGAUUCACUUUUCUGAAAACAUUUGCUAGGUAUCCUAUCAUCUCCAAUUAAUUAAAAA